UUGAGUGUUGAUUGGUAGUUUACACACACUUUGUAUGGUGGGAAUGGGACUCUUAAAUACAGAUACUUUUUUAUUUUUUUUAAUAAUAAAUAAUAACAGUGUUAAUGUAUAGUGGGUUAAUCAGAUUCAGGACUCUAAAGCUAAGCAUUUAUCUAUGGUUGGUCUGGUCCAAUGCUUAACUUGUUUAUCGUUACUAGAAAGAAGCUAGUGGACAGCUUUAUUAUCAACACAUGAUACCAUGAGGGAACCAAACCUUUUGAUAAUUUUAUGUUAAAAUUAAUUUGCAAUAAUUUGCCUUCCCCUAUUUAUCUAUUUUUUAUUAUCAUUUUCCUUAGACUCCGAAUGGUGAUUACAGUGCAGGACAAGCGUUUCAAUUGUGGUACGGUUUUAACAGUUAUAAAAAUGUAUAAAUAUAUAUUAUAUGUAGAGAUUUUUGUUAUUGUUAACUGCGGAGCGAGGCGGGACAAUGGUCACCAUUCGAAGCCUUAGUUUAAAAUUAGUUUCUUUCACAUUUUUGUAAUUAUCCCAUAUAGAAAAUCCACAACAAUUAGUUGUUUUGUUACCAUUCUCAGGGGAAAUUGGUUAACUGACACAAAGAUUUGGGGUCUAUCUGUAAUUAAUGAGUUUCCAUGGGGUCUAUUCGUAAUUAUUUCCAUCACCUUCUUCCUCAUUUCUCAAACUCCAUGCUCCGUUCCAUUGAUUCUUCUUCAAAAAGCUUUGAGACUCAGGGCUCCUGAUGAAACCCCAACAAGAAAAAUCUUACCUUUAUCUUAAAUUCUUCAAUGGCGAUCAUUGGAGACGCGUUGCCGAAGCAUGAGUACGCGAGCCUCAGGGAGGAAGAUAGAGCUUUGAUUAAGCUUCAGAGGCCGUUACUAAUGUCCACAUUGGGUUUCAUUUGCUGUGUCAUCUUCACUUGCACGGUCGUCAGCUCGAGAAUUGUGUUUUCUUCAAAUGUUCUGCGGCGACGUGAAGCUAUAGCCUUUGAAUGUGUAUGGCAACGCUAAUGAAUCUGAUAUAUUUCCAGGUGCUUUUUACUUGACGGAUCAAGAGACUGUUGUUGAUUUCUACUGGAUGGUUGUAGCAGGUGAGUGUCAGUCUCUAGCUUCUACUAGGAAUUUUUGUGGCGUAUUCCGCUCCUCACCGACAUGGGUUUCUAAAAGUUGUUGAAAAUAGCUACUGUACUCUCUUCUCUCGCUCUUUAUUUCAGCGUUCCAUAUAUGUGUCUUCCAUCCGUGAGUGCCAUAGAUUCAUUCCUUUUCAGUACCAAACCUUUUCUUGUACACUUUAUGGUAUGUAGAAUCCUGUUUCAUCUGCUAUUAGUUAUGAUGUUUCCACCUUUGAGACUCUGGGAUCAUCAGAGUUUCUUAUCACUAAGCUUUGGAUCUUAAAUUGGCUAUUGAUCUUCUUGAUCCUGCCUCUGGUAAAUUCACAGGUGGGGUUCGUUGCCUGUCAAUUCUGAAUGUUGUGUUUGCUAUCAUUCUACGGUCUCCUAGCUAUAUUUCUCGGCUCAAGCCUCCUGACACUAGGAAGCAGCUGUUCUGUACUAUUGUUUUGGUGCUACGAGGUAUCUUCAUGGGGUUUGGUAGUCUUGUAUGCUGGAACUGCUUUCUUCCUUAGGAGAAGAGCUGCUUUAACUAAUGACGAAGGGGAGUUUGGGAACAGAAACCAUCAGGGCUUGGAGAUGCUUGAAGCUAAUCCUUUGGAAUUCACACCAGAUGUCGAAAGAAAGCAUGGAUGGAUCCAUCUUUGUUAUCAUCUGAUGAAGAAGACGAACCUUAGUAUUACAAUGAAGUUCCCUCAAGAUCAUGAUUCUUGAGAAGAAGCAUUUGGUAUGAUGGUAACAAAGACAAAUAGUCACCUCAAGAGAUGGUUUCUUCAGAGACUGAGCUCACCAAAUUGUUGCCUUGGACUGAUCAUGAGAUGAUUGUGGAUCCAGAAGAUAAAUCAGAGCAAGUAGGCAGUAGGAGUGUUGAGGUUGUAGAUAUACAUACAGUGUAUCAUCAAAACUGGGUUUGGUUCUGUCUUUUGGUCAGUCCACCGUCUGUUUUGAUCGUUUACAUUGGUUUCGGAAUCUUGAAGUUGGAGUGCAGACCUAAAUAUACAUUUUGACCUGACGUUCAACAGUGUUUGAAACUCAUACAAUGUAAAAGUUAAUUUAUUAAGAAUAAAUAUCUUUUUCGCUA
This is a long non-coding RNA of Brassica rapa (field mustard), 2183 nucleotides long. RefSeq lists it as uncharacterized. NCBI's taxonomy places the organism in Eukaryota, Viridiplantae, Streptophyta, Magnoliopsida, Brassicales, Brassicaceae. The record is from RefSeq and is a predicted model, not a curated record.